UCAAUAGUUCUUUACGACUGUUGCGUCACUAUUCUCAUCGUUCUGUGAGGCGUUCAAAGUGGUUCGCGUAGAUGCUUGCGCAUGUGCGGUUAUUUAUGCGACCUUCAUCAGACUAGUCUAAUGAAACGACUCCAUAUGUGUGUCUUAUUUGUAAGAACGAAGUAACGGCCAGUGUUGUACAUAUUCAUCCUUUCAAAGUCGCGCUCAUUACUCUUCGCUCGUGACGUCAAAUAUAAAAAAAAACAUUAUUCAUUGAUCUCGAUGCAUGCGAUUAAGUGUUCUUCGGCAAUUAUCAGCAAUCAGACGCAAGAAUUCAUAAAUUUUCUUUAUGAAUUGUGCUUAUCGUGACUUCGCGUCUUUGGACUGACUCAAGUUGAAGUUUCAGUGUUAAAAAAAAAAAAACUUUAUAUUUAUAUAAAAUAAAUGCAAAAAUUACAAAUAUAAAUCUGUACAUUCUACAAUAGCAUUUAAUUGUCGUACAUUCGUUAAUAUCACUGAAUCCAAUUAUUACAUGUGGCUGGAUGUGAAAUGUGUUUUUACUGGACAAAACCCGGCAACAGCGUUUGUUCAUGCCUGUUCUGUGCAUUCUCGAUUCUAGCCUUGAUGGUAUUUCAGUUUUAUGGAUCGGCGAAUCUAACCGCGUAGCAGCAAGUAGAAAUCGCUAAGUUGGCAGAUGACGGCUUUCCAUGCGCAAACAUCCCGCGAGAUAAACGCGGAAGAGCUUGAUGGAAUUUGCGCGUCCGUGAACGCUCUGAUUUGCAUGUAUUUCAUAGUACACGUAAAACAGAUGGAAAGACGUGUUUUGAAAUUAUGAUUUAAAUAACGAAUCGCAAGAGUUAAACGACCGUGACUGCUGAAACGUGACCUCACUAUUUUCGUGUUUAAGAAGCACGAUACUUCAAUACCAAAAAAAUUGAUAUCUAAAACAAGAAUAGCUGAGCGGUAUAAGUUGCUUGCACAGAUCGGAAUUCUUCGCUAUUGCAUUGCGCAUGUCCAAGAUACAAUCACUGAUCAUUUAAUAUUAAUGACACGUACAUAGUAAAGAUAAAUAUGUAAAGAAUGAUUCAUAAUGCAUAAAUUUAACUUCAUAAAGAGAUGUAAGAAGAAUAUAAGUAUCUACAAUGCAGAAGAGAUGACUUCGUCGCCAAAAGAACAAGUAUAUUCAAAAAAGAUAAUGCAGAAAAAUGAAUGUGACGAAGGAAGCACAGAGCUUUUUCUACUACAACAGCCAACACCCAUCGAUUUCGUCUAUCCAUCGUCUUCUGGACAAUCUUGUGAUAAUCCUUACGUAACUCAAGCAGCUUAUAACCCAUCUUAUAAACUGGCCUUGAAUGAUAUUGUAGGUUAUAGCAUUAACGAAAAUAACGACGACAGCAAGAUUAACGAGAAAAAUACAUCAGCUGAAGCAAAAGAUACCCGCAUUGAAACCUGUAUAACAUACUGUAUCAUUGGAGUAGUAAUUCUCAUUAUUACUGGCGUAAUUAUUGGAAUUGUGUAUUUCCUAAUACAACAUCCAAAACUCGCACAUGCUCUGCACAAGGCGAUAGAAGCUGAAAAGGAUGACAAGGACGCGUCGUCGCUAAAAAAAGUCACAGCAACCGCAAAUGAAUUAGCAAACAAGACUUCAACUUUUAAAUCAUCCUACGACAAUGACGAACGGAGCUUCUAACUUAAUGUAUACGAAGAUUGACAUUACCAAGAUUUGUCUUCGAUCAUUUGAUAAGUGGGAGUGAUAAUACUGGUAACUGCUGGUAAUAACGUUAAUACAACUGCUCACAGACUGACACGUGCGUGGUGCUUGACAGUGACAACUCAUCAAUAGCACAAAGCUAUAUCAUUGAUAACUAAGAACUGUGUUUUUUUGUUUGGAAAUUGGAGAUUAGAUGCUGUGAUACAAUUUGUUUUAAAUUAAAACUAUCUAAAUUUUGUAUGAGUUUUCUCGCUUAAUAACUAAUUCCAUAUAUAUUUGUGUAUAUUUUAAUAACUGGCAAUGUAUGAAAUAUAUAUGCCUGGCUACAUAAGUUUGCACAUUACAAAGAAUCAGUAACGUUAUCGUCUUUAUAAAAAUCAACAAUA
Linepithema humile (Argentine ant) is the source of this 2076-nucleotide non-coding RNA. NCBI's taxonomy places the organism in Eukaryota, Metazoa, Arthropoda, Insecta, Hymenoptera, Formicidae. The record is from RefSeq and is a predicted model, not a curated record.